AACGAACGCUGGCGGCAGGCUUAACACAUGCAAGUCGAACGCCCCGCAAGGGGAGUGGCAGACGGGUGAGUAACGCGUGGGAACGUACCUUUCAGUUCGGAAUAAUUCAGGGAAACUUGUGCUAAUACCGGAUACGCCCGCAAGGGGAAAGAUUUAUCGCUGAAAGAUCGGCCCGCGUUGGAUUAGCUAGUUGGUGGGGUAAAGGCCUACCAAGGCGACGAUCCAUAGCUGGUCUGAGAGGAUGAUCAGCCACACUGGGACUGAGACACGGCCCAGACUCCUACGGGAGGCAGCAGUGGGGAAUAUUGGACAAUGGGCGCAAGCCUGAUCCAGCCAUGCCGCGUGUGUGAUGAAGGCCUCGGUC
This 364-nucleotide ribosomal RNA is filed under the name uncultured bacterium. Its description in RNAcentral is "bacterial SSU rRNA". It matches the Rfam family "Bacterial small subunit ribosomal RNA", at positions 29 to 424 of the family's 1533-position model. The record is from RNAcentral.